GGUGGCUCAGUGGCAGAGCUCUUGCCUUGCAUGCAUAAGGCCCUGGGUUCAAUUCCUCAGCACCA
Molecule: transfer RNA, 65 nt
Filed under: Dipodomys ordii (Ord's kangaroo rat)
Lineage: Eukaryota; Metazoa; Chordata; Mammalia; Rodentia; Heteromyidae
Rfam family: tRNA
About the family: Transfer RNA (tRNA) molecules are approximately 80 nucleotides in length. Their secondary structure includes four short double-helical elements and three loops (D, anti-codon, and T loops). Further hydrogen bonds mediate the characteristic L-shaped molecular structure. tRNAs have two regions of fundamental functional importance: the anti-codon, which is responsible for specific mRNA codon recognition, and the 3' end, to which the tRNAs corresponding amino acid is attached (by aminoacyl-tRNA synthetases). tRNAs cope with the degeneracy of the genetic code in two manners: having more than one tRNA (with a specific anti-codon) for a particular amino acid; and 'wobble' base-pairing, i.e. permitting non-standard base-pairing at the 3rd anti-codon position.
Source: Rfam by way of RNAcentral